This 347-nucleotide unclassified non-coding RNA is filed under the name soil metagenome. RNAcentral's name for it is "partial contains 5.8S ribosomal RNA, internal transcribed spacer 2, and large subunit ribosomal RNA". The stretch from base 1 to 120 matches the Rfam family "5.8S ribosomal RNA", at positions 35 to 154 of the family's 154-position model. The record is from RNAcentral.
GAUGAAGAACGUAGCGAAAUGCGAUAAAUAAUGUGAAUUGCAGAAUUCAGUGAAUCAUCGAGUCUUUGAACGCACAUUGCGCCCCCUGGUAUUCCGGGGGGCAUGCCUGUCCGAGCGUCAUUGCUGCCCUCAAGCACGGCUUGUGUGUUGGGCCCCCGUCCCCCCCUCCCGGGGGACGGGCCCGAAAGGCAGCGGCGGCACCGCGUCCGGUCCUCGAGCGUAUGGGGCUUUGUCACCCGCUCUGUAGGCCCGGCCGGCGCCUGCCGACCACCAUCAAUCUUUUUUCACGUUGACCUCGGAUCAGGUAGGGAUACCCGCUGAACUUAAGCAUAUCAAUAAGCGGAGGA